RNAcentral lists this long non-coding RNA (337 nucleotides) under Sorghum bicolor (sorghum). RNAcentral's name for it is "long non-coding RNA (SBIC_LNC004597)". Lineage: Eukaryota; Viridiplantae; Streptophyta; Magnoliopsida; Poales; Poaceae. The record is from RNAcentral.
GCUGCAAAAGUACAAUGUUGAGGAAGAUCCGACAGAUCUGGCUCCUCCUCCGCUCUCCUCUUCUCUCUCCCUAUUUUCUAGAUUACAACUAGAACUAACUAGAACUAGAACUAGAGAAACUAGAACUAGAACUAGAACUAGAUGAACUAGAACUAGAACUAGAUGAACUAGAAGUAGAACUAGAAGAACUAGAGGGAUCCUCUCUACUUGGAUGAAGAAUUGAAACCCUAGCUUUGAUUCUGUAGAAGAGGUAUGAUCUUCAGGGGCCAGGGGGUCUGGUUUUAUAGUCCCUUCAAGUGAAUCUGGGCCAUUGGAUCAAACCGACAUUAAUCGCAUG